GGCUAAAACUCAAAGGAAUUGACGGGGACCCGCACAAGCGGUGGAUGAUGUGGAUUAAUUCGAUGCAACGCGAAAAACCUUACCUACCCUUGACAUGUCAGGAAUCCUGGAGAGAUCUGGGAGUGCUCGCAAGAGAACCUGAACACAGGUGCUGCAUGGCUGUCGUCAGCUCGUGUCGUGAGAUGUUGGGUUAAGUCCCGCAACGAGCGCAACCCUUGUCAUUAAUUGCCAUCAUUCAGUUGGGCACUUUAAUGAGACUGCCGGUGACAAACCGGAGGAAGGUGGGGAUGACGUCAAGUCCUCAUGGCCCUUAUGGGUAGGGCUUCACACGUCAUACAAUGGUCGGUUCAGAGGGUUGCCAACCCGCGAGGGGGAGCCAAUCUCAGAAAGCCGAUCGUAGUCCGGAUCGCAGUCUGCAACUCGACUGCGUGAAGUCGGAAUCGCUAGUAAUCGCGGAUCAGCAUGUCGCGGUGAAUACGUUCCCGGAU
Molecule: ribosomal RNA, 488 nt
Filed under: uncultured bacterium
Lineage: Bacteria
Description: bacterial SSU rRNA
Rfam family: Bacterial small subunit ribosomal RNA
Source: RNAcentral